GACGAACGCUGGCGGCGUGCUUAACACAUGCAAGUCGAACGUGAUUUUUGUGGAAAUUCUUUCGGGAAUGGAAAUGAAAUGAAAGUGGCGAACGGGUGAGUAACACGUGAGCAACCUACCUUACACAGGGGGAUAGCCGUUGGAAACGACGAUUAAUACCGCAUGAGACCACAGAAUCGCAUGAUAUAGGGGUCAAAGAUUUAUCGGUGUAAGAAGGGCUCGCGUCUGAUUAGCUAGUUGGAAGGGUAAAGGCCUACCAAGGCGACGAUCAGUAGCCGGUCUGAGAGGAUGAACGGCCACAUUGGAACUGAGACACGGUCCAAACUCCUACGCGAGGCAGCAGUGGGGAAUAUUGCACAAUGGGGGGAACCCUGAUGCAGCGACGCCGCGUGAGCGAAGAAGGUUUUCGAAUCGUAAAGCUCUGUCCUAUGAGAAGAUAAUGACGGUAUCAUAGGAGGAAGCCCCGGCUAAAUACGUG
RNAcentral lists this ribosomal RNA (478 nucleotides) under uncultured bacterium. Its description in RNAcentral is "partial 16S ribosomal RNA". It matches the Rfam family "Bacterial small subunit ribosomal RNA", at positions 28 to 507 of the family's 1533-position model. The record is from RNAcentral.